Molecule: long non-coding RNA, 672 nt
Filed under: Lupinus mutabilis
Lineage: Eukaryota; Viridiplantae; Streptophyta; Magnoliopsida; Fabales; Fabaceae
Description: partial ncRNA
Source: RNAcentral
AUCGUCCAACGAUCACAGUUAAUUUCAAAACUCAACUUUCUCUUGCUUCAACGCUCAACCCAACUCAAACCCUCAAACUCAAAAUGAUGUCAAAAGUUGUUAUCCUCUUCGCCCUCUUCGCCUGUGCUUUAGCCGGUGCCGUCUACAGCCCAGCUUACGCUACCUACAGCCCAUACGCCAGCUACGCUUACACUCCAAGCUACACUCCAGCCUACACCGCUUCCUACAACCCAGGUUACUACGGCAGCUACUACGGAUCCUAUGCUCCAGCCUGGAACUACGGAUCUUACUAUGGAACUCCAGCUUAUGGCUAUGGAUAUGCUUACUCUCCAUACACUUCUUACUCAACCAUCCUUAAGAAGUAAACUGUCCAACUGUUUCCUCAACCGGCCUCAAUCAAUGGGAUUUUCAUGUUAAUCCUUGCGAUUUCCCUUCUGAUCGAUCUCUUCUUUUGUUCCAACUUAUAAACUCACUACAUUCGCCACGCACAAAACGGUUUGUUCAUUUUUCUCGUCAGACAGUUUAGUUUUCUUUACACACAAAACAAAUCACUUGUUAGUUCAAAACGAAAACAAAAACAAAACAAAAAUGUUGACAUUAUUUGGCAGAACUAUUUUUAUUCUUCGUCUCGAAAACAACAUCUUCGAAUUGUAAUGUCGUUCUAACAGUUUG